UUUUUAUUUGUAUUAUCUCGCGGUGAUUAAUACGUUUAAAGUUGUUAACCCCAUUGCAUUAUUUAUGAGACGUAGGGGGAAACAACAACAGCAGCUCAGUCAUGUCAUACAGUGGAUUUUUAAACAGUAACAGCCAUGUUUCGAAACACGUUCGGGAUUUUUUUGAAUUGAAGCACAGAGCUGCAGAAUAUUACACAACAAACGGAGUGCCCCAGAAAAUAGAUGUGCUGAAUUCAAUGUUUUACAAAAAAAACUGAUGAUGUGUACGGGUAUUUGGCAAAUUACUUUUCCAAUUUUUCCAAGCCUCCACGGAUAACCAAUCUAGUGGGAAAAUAAGUGUAUGAUGGGAAAGGCCAGACAGCUGUCCAAGUGAAAGUACUGUGUACAGUUGAAAACAACAAAAAGAGUAUCUGCUCAGCAGCAAUAUCCAGUAACUGUGAACCACCCGGACCCAAUUAUGGUUUGCCCGAAGCUUGGGAGAUGGAUGAUACUAAAAGAAAGGAAUCUGUCUCGAUAGCUUUGCAAUGGAUCAAUGAGCCACUGGCAGCAUUGUUGAGGGGGCAUGAACCAGCUGAUCAGUUAAAAGCAGAUACAUUGCUAAGUAAUUGUUUUCAAGUGCAUGUUGCAGAAAAGCAGGAGCGAAUGGAGGAGGAAAGGAAACAACAAAAGCUGAUGUUGGCUGUGGAGCCUGAGCCACUGCCUCCACCUCAGCCUUCUGCUGCAAAUAAAAAAGAGAAACGGGCCUGUGGCAAAGGUUAUCUGUUUCCACUUGCACUCCAAGCCUGGUACUGUCUUCAAGUAUAUCAGUCAACAGGGGAAGCGGCUGGUUGGAUAAUGACAGCAAAGAAGCCAUUGGGGGUGGGGACAAUUUCACCCUCCAGGCAAAAAGACUAGUGUUCCAGAGAAGCCCAUCCCUCCAGCUGAACCACAAGACCCAGUGUUGCCGGGUAGCAUGGCAGUAGGAUCAGUGUCACUGACUGUCUGAAAAGCUGCUGCCAAAUUGAGUAGCAUUCCUAUUUUCCAGCAUAUUUUCGUAAUAAAUCAUUAACAGCCUAUCCUGAAAACAGUGUCUGAUCUGGGUGCCUUAGUGAUAGGAUUUGAAUGACUUGAACAGCCUUCGGAUCUCGUUCGAGAAGCUGCCAAGACUCUUCAACUUACAGUCGGAGAAGAUUUAUAUUUAGCAAUAAAUUGUGCUGCACAUACGCUAAUGGAUUAUCAAAAAGGCAAAUAUGAAGUGAUGACCGGAAUACUGAAGAAGCCGCUACCCAGCCGUUAUUGCUCUGAUAGAUCCCUUGAGGAAAGAGUGGAGGAGGAUCUGACAGUGCCUGGGUUCAGCAUUGUAAUCUUGAAACAGACCAAUCAGACAACUGUCUUAGACAUGACUGAAUCAACAGGCGCAUGAGAGAUCAGAAGCGUAUUACUGCGUUUGGAACUACAGAUGGAGAAUCUUCUGAUGAUUCCCUAGCAGAUCUUGGCUGUAUUGUGCACCAGAAUCCUGCUGUAGGAGUGGGAGCCAGGUUUAUCAAACUGGGAGGUCUGUGUCGUGGCGAGCGGGGUGACUAAAUACUGCCGCCUGCUUUCUAUAGAGGAUGAAUUGGCCCAGCAGGGAGCAUUGGAAAGAGGACAAAAUUACCUGACAUCCGUGUGAGGAAACUCAAAACCAAGCUAAGUCAUUUUGACAAGGACAGGGCAUUGUUAGGAAACACAGUGAUCUUGAAUUCAAUUCAAUUGAAACACACACUCUACCUGAGGCAGGCUUAACCCCUGAGGUGCUGGAGCUGAAUAUAGGGAUCUGGUAAACAGAUCUCUCCUUAAAAAGGUGUCUAUUUUAAAGGGCGAUUUGUUACUUAGCAAAUGAAAAAGUUUAAAAAGAGGCACACCCUUAUUAUAAUUUUCUAAAUAUUGUAGGAAUCUUUUUAGAAGCAGUUCCCUUAGUUGAAACAAAUACACAAUUUAAUAAUCCUGGUAAGCAAUCACCUAAGCAGAAACAGCAAUUGAUAAUUGUACAAAACAAAUAUAUUAGGACAGGGGUUUUCAACCUUUUUUUGAAACUGUACCCUUUCUGUCUGGAGGUUUCAACUCAAGUACCCCUUUACAAUUUUCACUCGACUGAAUGGUACUACAGUUGCAAUAAAAGGUAGAAUACUCUGAUUACACAUUUCUUUUUUCCCUCGUUUAUUUAAUCUAUAACUUAUGUCAACAGUUUGCGACUGACAAACUGCUGCUUUAGGACAGAUUACCAAACAGUAGGCUUAAUUCUUAAAUAUUUUAAUGACAUGUCUUUGGAUGCACAGAACUGAAAGAUAGUAUUUGGGAAUUUUUUUGGAAACACUUGUAUAUAUGCUUUCUAUUCAGCAAAGUUAUAAUAAAUAAUACAAAAUAGGCUGCACUGUAAAUGUUCAUGAUGUUACCAUUUACUUCCCAUCUCAGCAGAAUUAUGUUUUUGCUUACAGUAUCAAAAACAUUAACCUCAAGAUAAAACAAUAAUAACUAACACUGAUAAACGUUUUAAUUAAAGCCAAUAUAAAAAUGAUCCAAAGGGAUUUGGUAUAACUUUGUCGCUUUGCACUUUCUGUACUCUUGUGCCCAUUUCAAGCAGCCCUAUUGCUGUUACUAAAAAUGCAACCGCGCCUAACAAAUAAAGUGUGAGUGUUGUGAUUAUUAUUUAUGUUUACCGGACCAUUUAUACUUCUAAAAAUACCAAAAUAUUGUGCCUCACUGAUUAGUAUUCAAUUAUACGACAAGUUGAAAACAACAACAUUAAUGAGCAACACAGAGUGCUCUCCAUAGGCAGAAUCACCAGACCCCUGCUUCACCUACCCAUAUCAGAGUGGAAAUCUUGUUUUUUUUUCAUCUGUGGCUCACUUUGAGCUGCUAAACAAAAAUGACAUAUUUAUGCACAAUGGUUUAGAGAGAAUAUAUAAUACUGUUAACAAAAUCGAUUCAAGAUGCAUUAUUUACCUUGAGUUUCAUUUUUUUUUGCAGUAGUCCUGUGCACCCCCGAUGACCCUUAGAAGCAACCCCAGGGGUGAAAACCCCUGUAUUAGGAUAUUAGAAGCUUAGGAGAACUGAAGAUCUGUGGAAGUCCUCUGAUCCCACAACUACCCCACGGGAGCACCAAAGCCAGUGCAAUAUUUCCUGAAUCCCCAGUGAAGAUCAGCAACUUGGCACAAACAGGACACAAACCUGCACUCCCCUGACUAUGAUUCACCCUGCACAGUACACGGCCAUGCUUUUAUCAGUAAGUGUUCCGUACUGGGGGGAAGAGACCUAGGAUCACAGUCUGUUUAUCAUUCUGUGUAGGGAGAGGGGUUCUCAACUAAAUAGAUCCGGAUGUCGCCCAAGUCGAGGUCGGGGAGUUCAUGGCUCCAAAAGCACCAGCGAUGUACAAACUCCUAGAAUCUGGCACUUAUCUGUAUAUCUUUUCCUGACACUGGAGGUGAGAAGUGUGUUCUGUGGCAAAUAAUGCAUACUGUA
Long non-coding RNA from Acipenser ruthenus (sterlet), 3477 nucleotides. RefSeq lists it as uncharacterized. The transcript is spliced from 15 exons. Lineage: Eukaryota; Metazoa; Chordata; Actinopteri; Acipenseriformes; Acipenseridae. The record is from RefSeq and is a predicted model, not a curated record.